RNAcentral lists this ribosomal RNA (570 nucleotides) under Triticum aestivum (bread wheat). Its description in RNAcentral is "partial small subunit ribosomal RNA". The record is from RNAcentral. Lineage: Eukaryota; Viridiplantae; Streptophyta; Magnoliopsida; Poales; Poaceae.
AUGCUUGCUGAGGUUCGUCAGCGUCUCCUUCAGGCACAGCAGCUGGCCAAGCACUACUACGACGAUCAUCAUCGCGAGGCGGAGUUCGCGGUGGGGGAUUGGGUGUGGCUGCGUCUCCUCCACCGCUCUACGCAGUCACUCGACCCGCGCGCGAAGCGCAAGCUCGGCCCUCGCUACGCCGGGCCCUUCCCUAUCUUGGAGCGCAUUGGGAAGGUGGCAUAUCGUCUUCAGCUUCCAGCCCGUGCUCGCAUCCACGAUGUCUUCCAUGUUGGGCUGCUCAAGCCUUUCCGAGGCGAGCCACCGGCGGCUCCUCCGGCGCUUCCUCCACUCGCCGAUGGUCGCAUUCUUCCCGAGCCGGCAAAGGUGUUGCAGGCGCAGCUCCGUCGUGGCGUCUGGUUCAUCCUCGUUCAGUGGGCGGGCCUUCCGGAGGAGGAGGCUACUUGGGAGCAGCGUGACGAAUUCCGCCAACACUAUCCAGACUUUCAGCUCGAGGACGAGCUGUUUGCGCAGGCGGGGAGAGAUGUUAUGACCGGUUUGGUCUAUACCAGAAAGAGGCCCACCGGGCAUUAG